RNAcentral lists this ribosomal RNA (326 nucleotides) under uncultured eukaryote. RNAcentral's name for it is "partial 18S ribosomal RNA". It matches the Rfam family "Eukaryotic small subunit ribosomal RNA", at positions 1470 to 1796 of the family's 1831-position model. The record is from RNAcentral.
CCCUUAGACGUUCUGGGCCGCACGCGCGCUACACUGAUGCAUUCAACGAGUCCAACCUUGACCGAGAGGUCCGGGUAAUCUUUGAAACUGCAUCGUGAUGGGGCUAGAUUAUUGCAAUUAUUAAUCUUCAACGAGGAAUGCCUAGUAAGCGUGAUUCAUCAAAUCGCGUUGAUUACGUCCCUGCCCUUUGUACACACCGCCCGUCGCUCCUACCGAUUGAGUGUGUUGGUGAGGAGUUUGGAUUGGCCUCGGAAGGUGGUUCGCCACCGUCCGUAGCUGAGAAGUUCUCCAAACCGCCCCACUUAGAGGAAGGAGAAGUCGUAACA